UCGUGUCGUGAGAUGUUGGGUUAAGUCCCGCAACGAGCGCAACCCUCGACCUUAGUUGCCAGCAUUCAGUUGGGCACUCUAAGGUGACUGCCGGCUAAAAGUCGGAGGAAGGUGGGGAUGACGUCAAAUCAUCAUGCCCCUUAUGACCUGGGCUACACACGUGCUACAAUGGGCGGUACAAAGGGUCGCGAACCCGCGAGGGGGAGCCAAUCCCAAAAAGCCGCUCUCAGUUCGGAUUGCAGGCUGCAACUCGCCUGCAUGAAGCCGGAAUCGCUAGUAAUCGCGGAUCAGCAUGCCGCGGUGAAUACGUUCCCGGGCCUU
Molecule: ribosomal RNA, 321 nt
Filed under: uncultured Anoxybacillus sp.
Lineage: Bacteria; Bacillati; Bacillota; Bacilli; Caryophanales; Anoxybacillaceae
Description: bacterial SSU rRNA
Rfam family: Bacterial small subunit ribosomal RNA
Source: RNAcentral